GUUUCUGUGCUAGAAGUCAGAUGGUUCGGAUGUGCGACAGAGCUGAAGCAAGCGAUUGGGAACAAAACCGGUUAGUAAAAGCAUCUCGAAUUUCUGCUCGACAUACGAACAACAUUUUUUGUACGAGAACCGUUGGCAGACAUCAGCAUGCUCCAAUGGCCAUUGCUGGCCGUCAAGGCCACUAUACCGCCAGACUUGUGGGUCUUCUUGCCUUUCUUCAAUUCGCCUUUCGCGGUUUCGCCCAAGAACUCCAGGACACGGUUGUAGUCGUAUUGAUCGUGUCCUUCCACUUUAAAGACCGUUUUGACGCUCUUGUUCUCUUUCCGCUUUUCACGCUACUCCUUUUUGGCCCGCAUGGACCGGAGUUGGUCACUCUCAAAAUAUCGGGUGUUGGUGGCAACAGAAUGAGUUGAGAAGUCGUACAGGAAUCCAUACUUUCUCCGUUGAGAGACUGGAUUGGAGGACGAGCUCCCUUUGAUGACAAGAUCUUCAAAGUUUUCGUGAAGGUUUAAUGAAGCCGAAGGAUCGGGGGUGGUUGACAUUUGAAUCGUCUCUCCUGGAUGGUUUCCCAAAGAGUCGCUGCUAAAGGACUCUUGGUCGACAUUGCCAUUGGUGUUGUCGUCAUGGCUGUCUUCGUGAGUGUGUGGAAUACCCACGGGCUGAGUAUUAUCGAAUACCUCGGAGGAUUCCGGCUCAAGCAUGCUCCCCCUAGAAGUAUUCCGGCCAAAUGCAACGAGAUGUCCGAUCUUAUCACCGACCGAGCAAGUGGUAUUUUUCGCGGAGCUGUGGCUUUUGGGUCGUCAUCGUGAGAGGGUUCCUCCAGUUUGUGAUCACAGUAAAUCUCGAACCUUUCCAACCAAUGCUCGAACCCCAUCGCCACGUCUGGAGCGUGAUCGUUUGGGUUGAAUGGUCGGGAGUCCAUUGCGGAUUGCGUGGCCUCGUCGUCAGUAAAAUAAAUCCAGUUCUCAAAAUAAGAA
Tigriopus californicus is the source of this 977-nucleotide long non-coding RNA. RefSeq lists it as uncharacterized. NCBI's taxonomy places the organism in Eukaryota, Metazoa, Arthropoda, Copepoda, Harpacticoida, Harpacticidae. The transcript is spliced from 2 exons. The record is from RefSeq and is a predicted model, not a curated record.